CCUACGGGUGGCAGCAGUGAGGAAUAUUGGUCAAUGGACGAGAGUCUGAACCAGCCAAGUAGCGUGAAGGAUGACUGCCCUAUGGGUUGUAAACUUCUUUUAUAAGGGAAGAAAACAGGGUAUGCAUACCCUCUUGUAUGUACCAUAUGAAUAAGGAUCGGCUAACUCCGUGCCAGCAGCCGCGGUAAUACGGAGGAUCCGAGCGUUAUCCGGAUUUAUUGGGUUUCACGGGAGCGUAGGUGGCUUGUUAAGUCAGUUGGGAAAGUGUGCGGCUCAACCGUACAAUUGCAGUUGACACUGGCAGUCUUGAGUACAGUAGCGGUGGGCGGCAUUCGUGGUGUAGCGG
RNAcentral lists this ribosomal RNA (346 nucleotides) under uncultured bacterium. Its description in RNAcentral is "partial 16S ribosomal RNA". It matches the Rfam family "Bacterial small subunit ribosomal RNA", at positions 338 to 681 of the family's 1533-position model. The record is from RNAcentral.